Lates calcarifer (barramundi perch) is the source of this 365-nucleotide long non-coding RNA. RefSeq lists it as uncharacterized. The record is from RefSeq and is a predicted model, not a curated record. The transcript is spliced from 3 exons. NCBI's taxonomy places the organism in Eukaryota, Metazoa, Chordata, Actinopteri, Centropomidae.
AUGUCAUAGUAUAGUAAGGGGUCAAAAAUGGUCAAAAAUCAUCAAAAAAAGUCAUAGUAUAGUAAGGGAGUCAAAAAUCAUCAAAAAAAGUCAUAGUAUAGUAAGGGGUCAAAAAUCAUCAAAAAAAGUCAUAGUAUAGUAAGGGGUCAAAAAUGGUCAAAAAAAUUCAUAGUAUAGUAAGGGGUCAAAAAUGGUCAAAAAAAAUCAUAGUAUAGUAAGGGGUCAAAAAUCAUCAAAAAAAGUCAUAGUAUAGUAAGGGGUCAAAAAUCAUCAAAAAAAGUCAUAGUAUAGUAAGGGGUCAAAAAUCAUCAAAAAAAGUCAUAGUAUAGUAAGGGGUCAAAAAUCAUCAAAAAAGUCAUAGUAUA